UUGACCCAAAGACAACUUGCUUACAGGAAUGCCUUAUCACCACCUUCCAGGAAGCCUACUUUGUUUCAGAAAGUUUUGAAGAAGCCAAAGAAAAGAUGAGGUACAGAUUGGCAAUAUGGCCUGUACAAGCACUGUUUGGGGUGCUGCUGUUCCAGAAACACAACUGAUGUCUCCUAGGGGUGGUAAGACAACAGGAUAAGUGCAAAAGAAAUAAAGCAUCAGGUUGAUGCUUAAGGGAUUUCACUGGUAAUACCAAUCCAGAAGCAGUUGCUGUAUACAGUGAUGGAAUGGCCUACUGAAGACUCAUUUAUGACAGCAUUCACUGAAGAA
RNAcentral lists this small RNA (330 nucleotides) under Pongo abelii (Sumatran orangutan). RNAcentral's name for it is "processed transcript". Lineage: Eukaryota; Metazoa; Chordata; Mammalia; Primates; Hominidae. The record is from RNAcentral.